Molecule: ribosomal RNA, 800 nt
Filed under: uncultured archaeon
Lineage: Archaea
Description: bacterial SSU rRNA
Rfam family: Archaeal small subunit ribosomal RNA
Source: RNAcentral
UAAAUCCACCGAAUUAAUCGUUGGAUUGCGGGGGAUACUGCUUGGCUAGGGGACGAGAGAGGCAGACGGUAUUUCCGGGGUAGGGGUGAAAUCCUAUAAUCCCGGGAAGACCACCAGUGGCGAAGGCUGUCUGCUAGAACGCGCCCGACGGUGAGGGAUGAAAGCUGGGGGAGCGAACCGGAUUAGAUACCCGGGUAGUCCCAGCUGUAAACGAUGCAGGCUAGGUGUUUGGACGGCCACGUGCCGUUCUAGUGCCGCAGGGAAGCUGUUAAGCCUGCCGCCUGGGGAGUACGAUCGCAAGAUUGAAACUUAAAGGAAUUGGCGGGGGAGCACCACAAGGGGUGAAGCUUGCGGUUUAAUUGGAGUCAACGCCGGAAAUCUCACCGGGAGCGACAGCAGUGUGAAGGCCAGAUUAAAGGUCUUGCCAGACGAGCUGAGAGGAGGUGCAUGGCCGUCGCCAGUUCGUGCCGUGAGGUGUCCUGUUAAGUCAGGCAACGAUCGAGACCCGCAUCCUCUGUUGCAACUAGCCUUGUGCUGGGCACACUGAGGAGACCGCCACUGAUAAAGUGGAGGAAGGAGCGGGCCACGGCAGGUCAGUAUGCCCCGAAUCUCCCGGGCCACACGCGAGCUGCAAUGGCAGGUACAAUGGGUUCCGACCUCGAAAGGGGAAGGCAAUCUCGAAAGCCUGCCGUAGUUGGGAUUGAGGGUUGUAACCCACCCUCAUGAACAUGGAAUCCCUAGUAAUCGCGUGUCACUAGCGCGCGGUGAAUACGUCCCUGCUCCUUGCACACACCCCCCGU